GCAGGAGGUGGAGCUUGACAGGCAGCACAUCAGAAACAAUCCGUCCAAGUACAGCUUUUACACCCUUGAUUGCUGCUGCUUUACAACAUCUGCUUGGUCCACUAUUAGGUAUGCAGCUCUUCAUGUUGGUGGUUUUAUUCACUGGGUUUACUGGUGUUUAUAGUGUGGUCCUCCCUCCUGACAAGAAGGAACUGAACAGUUUAGAAGAUACGACUGCUUCUCUGUCCUACAGGCUCUCUCAAAAGGCUGAAAUUAAUGAUAAUUUCUUCUGGUACCGUCAGUAUCCCGGAGAACCUCCACAGUUCCUGCUGUACAUCUCAGGGUUUGGUAACAACAGGACAGCUGAGUCUCUUGGUUCAGACAAAAGGUUUUCUACUGAACUGACUAAAGAGAAGACUGGAGUGGAUCUGAAGAUCUCCUCUGUUGCAGUGACAGACUCUGCUCUGUACUACUGUGCUCUGAGGCCCACAGUGACAGGAAACACACACUCCCUGUACAAAAACCUGCUGAGCACAAAACACUCUUCCAUCUCCCCCUGA
Molecule: non-coding RNA, 539 nt
Organism: Gadus chalcogrammus (walleye pollock)
Lineage: Eukaryota; Metazoa; Chordata; Actinopteri; Gadiformes; Gadidae
Source: the annotation of a RefSeq genome assembly